Molecule: long non-coding RNA, 13360 nt
Organism: Equus caballus (horse)
Lineage: Eukaryota; Metazoa; Chordata; Mammalia; Perissodactyla; Equidae
Source: Ensembl
GUGCAAAUGCAAGCAUUGUUGUGAUUGUUAUGCCUUCUGUUUCUUUGAUCCUCAGAAAAGAUAGCGAAGCGGGAGAGGCCUGUGCACUCAUUUUAAAGAGGAGGAAACCAAGUCUCGGAGCUAGCAGCGGGCGCUGGCGCUGGUCCCUUCAGGGCACCUCGCCCACCUCCACCUGUGUCUCUGUUGAUGUCUGUCCCGGUGGAGCCCUGCUGGCUGAUGCACUCAGCCCUGGGCCCUGGCGCUGCUGCAGGCUCCCCCUGCCAGGCAGCCCAACCCUGCCUGCAGGUAAUGAAGAUGGCACCUGACGAAUGUCACUCGUCAUGAGGCAGUGGCUCCCCCUGGACUGCCUCCUGCCCGAGUUCAUGAGAAGCAAUUUACUGUGUGUCAAGUGACCGCAGGAGAUCGAGGAAGGCCCCGCCCCGUGCCACCCUGGGCUUCUGGCGGAGAGGUGGGCUGCCAAGCAGGGUGACUAGCAGCCUUUGAUUACAGCUGGGAAGGAAUGGUGCCCAUGACCCAGCUAAACCGAGAACCCAGACCAGCUCUGCAGAUUCAGAGGGGCCCAGAGCCUUGCUUCCGUCACCCUCGUCGGAAGGGUGUCCUCCCCCAGACGCCUCAGCUCUAAGAGCUGAGCCAGAGCAGGGCCCCCGGCGCCUCCCAAAGCCAGCCCUGCCCUCCACGGAGCCGCCUGCUGUGCCCAGCUCAGGGGUGAGUGGACAGGCCUGGCUGCAGUGCGCUCCGAGUGCAGGCAGGGUGGCAAGGACCACGCCAGGCUCUAGCCCGGGCCCAGAGGUGGCUCGGCCAAGAGUGAAUACCUGACGACGUUGUUCUCCAGGGGCCCCACCAUUGCCUCAGGAGCAUCCAAAGUCCAAGAGGCUCACAAGCCUUCAGGACCCCAGAGGGCCCUUCCCAGCUGCCUCCUUUGUCACUCUUCAGUGAGAACCAAUUGCCGUCCCCGUCCCCACCUCCCUCCCCAAGCUGCCUCAUGCCUGUCCAGGCUGUGAUGGUCCCCUGCCUCCCACCGGCCCACCCCUCUCCAUCCCGGCCCUAUCUUAGCCAAUGUCACCUCCUCCAGGAAGCUCCUCUGACCUCCCGUCAGGGUUGGCCCUUCCUCAGGCUUCCACAGUGAGGGGAUUCGCCCUGUCCCGCCUGACAUAAUUGUCUGCAGCUGCCUCUGACACUCCCACCAGAGUGUGAGCCCCUCGGGGAAGGGCCCAUCCCCAGCACCUGCACAGGGCCUGGCACACAGGAGGGGCUCAGUGGGGGCUUGAGUGAGGAAGCAGGCCGUCCUCGGGAAUCCAGCCUGCACGGCGUCUCCAGGCAGCCUGCUGGGCGGAGGUUGGGGACCCGCCACGCACCUCAUCCAUGGGAGCUGUGGUCAGAGAAGGCUGCAUCUUGCAGACAGAAGCUGCCAGCCGUUCACGGGGAUUGCUGGGAUGCUGAGCAUUGCUGGGGUUCACACGAUGGUGGAUUCCAGCAUUAUCGUCUCUGAACUCUCAUGUGGACGGAAAUACUUGCAGCCCUGCUCCUGCCAUCAGAGUCGAAGAGGAGCAGAAGAUGAAGUUGGAGAUAUGGUCCUUCUAUAUGAGUAAGGCUCAUUAUUGUGUCUGGCAGGCCAGAGGCGUGGGCACUGGUUAGUCACAUUCCAGCCUGAGCUUCAUCACAAGUUAGCCACUGACCGCCCACCAUGUGCCAGGCUGGGGACCCAGAGGUGGAGGGGGCACAGCCUCUGCCUUGGAAGAACACUCAGGCUAUGUGGGAGACAGACGUGCAAACUUUCGACAGUAGCACCUUGUGAUCCAAGCUGGACAGAGGGACGGUCAGGGGCUAUAACCUUAACCCUGAAGGGUGGGGAUCAUCCCGGGAGGUGGUGUUACAGCAGCUGGGUCAAGAAGGACGGCAAGGGGCCAGUGAGCCAACGGGGGAUGCGAGAGGAGGUAGGGCUGCCAGGCAGGGGACCUGCCUGGAGAGGGCCCAGGAAGUCAGAGGGGUACAGUGGUUGGCAGAGACCAGAUCACAGAGGGCCGUGGAUGUAUUGCCAAAGUCAGGGAUAGACUCCACCCAGGGGACUAGGGGAGCCCUGCGGGUCAUGGAUGGGGAGGGUCGUCUGACUUGGAUGGAUAACCCAUUUGGGGUGGGAGGUUUGGGGAAGGGGCGGGCGGGGGCAGGGUGCCCAUGGAGGCUAGUGUAGGAAGCCAGACUAAAGGUGAGUGUGGCCCGAACCAGGGUGAUAGUGACCAUGGGAACCAAGAGCAGGUGGCCCAUUGAGACUGGCUCUAGAGAAAGCAUGGAUGGCCUGGGGCAGGGAGAGGAGAGACUGGUUCUAGAGAAAGCAUGGAUGGCCUGGGGGCAGGGAGAGGAGAGACUGGUUCUAGAGAAAGCAUGGAUGGCCUGGGGGCAGGGAGAGGAGAGACUGGUUCUAGAGAAAGCAUGGAUGGCCUGGGGGCAGGGAGAGGAGAGACUGGUUCUAGAGAAAGCAUGGAUGGCCUGGGGGCAGGGAGAGGAGAGACUGGUUCUAGAGAAAGCAUGGAUGGCCUGGGGGCAGGGAGAGGACAAUCAAGGACUCCCAGGUACAAGCCGGGUCAGCAGGGUGGCGGGUGGCGCCAGCAGCUCAGCCCGGGCGAUUUCCCAUGGAGACCUGGAGCCAGAGAACGAGAGGAUGAGGAUGUGAGACAGCACCACUGAGUCUACAUCCCCGAUGGGCCCCUCAGCACGUGUGGGAGGGAAGGAGACAUUGGCGUAGCUGCGGUACAGCUCCUUAAAUGCCUCAUGGGUCGCCUUCUUAAAGACCUUGACAGCAAGCAAGUCCAGGAAAGAGGACACCCAGGGUGCACCAGGCGCCAUGCCAGGCACUGUACACAGGAGGCCCAGGAACCUCAGGAGACUCUCAUCAGCCUGUCCAUCGCUGCUGUCGGGCCACAGAGGUUUCGUUGAUGCUCCAGAUGCUUAAUUCACCCGGUGAGCCAGGUAGCUACCCUCAAGGGACUCACAGUGUGAGCAGCAACCUUAGAGAAGUUUUAAGGAAACUGCUUUUAUGGGGUUUAGAUGCUGGGAGAGGCGAGCUCCUUAAGUAACUUUGCAGCUGCCGCUAGGCUGUCACCCUCCUGCAGAAACACGCCGAACAGCCACCCCAUUGUGGCAGCAUCUCGGCCAUCUGACCACGCACACAUCUGCCCACCCGCUCUGCCGCUGACAAUGGGGUACGACAGAUCCACGCCGGAGGGAGUGUCAGCCCGACUGUCUGGGAGGGGGGCUGGCGUUGGCUAUGGGGGCUCCUCCUCUCCUCCCGAGGGCCCCCCAGAGCUGGAGCGCGGACGUCCAUCUGUGCUGGCAUCACUCAUUUCUGACGCAGCCUGGCAGGUGCUCUGGCUGAGGGGAGGUGGGAUAAAGGCCUGGAGGUAACAUUGCCUCAUUUUUGUGGCAGGAGAUUGACAAGAGGUCUGAGGGCAACUGGAGGGCCUCUGGUUCGCCGCCUUCAGGAAAGGAUCAAGCUGGUGGAAACAAAUUCAAUCAUUCUGAUUUAAGAAAAGGCGUUUUGAGGGCUUUCCUUUCCAUUUUAUAUCACUCCUGGAGUCUUAAAUCCUAAAUUCUUUUUAUUCAAAACGGAUUUAUUUCUGAAGUAUUGGCCUAAUGUCAUUUUAGAAACUUUACUCAGAAUUGAGUUUAAGGAGCUUAUCAGGUACCUUCUGCCCACAACUUGGGACUGCAAAAGACACAGUGCACCACCUGUAUUUUGUUUUUAGAAGGAUGGGUUUAAUGUUCUGACUUUGUCCGACUGUGAUGCCCACUACAAUUAUGGAUAAUUAUUAUGUCUUGCUGAGAAAUUACAGUGGGAUAUGGGCCAUGCAGAAGACAGACUGAUGCACACAGUGCCCCCAGUAGAUUCAGAAACUAAAUAGCCGUAUUUAGAUUUCGGUAAUGGCGUGGAACAGGAAAAAUUCUCUCCUGCUGGGGGGUGGGGUCACUAAAAUUACUUCUAAGGAAAAAAUCCCUCUCCCAACAGUGCAAGCGGAGUAAUCAGCAAUCUAAAAGAGGUAAGAACCAGGGAAAUAAAUAAAGGAAUUAAAAAUCAGGACAUUUUAAGACUGAAAAUGAGGCUUUGUUUGUAACAUGUUCACGAAAAGAAUGUCAGUCUUUCAAAAAAGGCUGCAAUACCAGAGCCACAGGCCUCUGAUUCCCAUUCCCUAAGGCGGCAGAUAUUGAUCAGCUGCCCGCCACGUACCAGAUUCAAAGUAUGUCAGUUUUUAAAAAAUAAUAGACAUCCCUUAAUGUCAAAUCCUAUUGCUAUAUGUGCUAAAAUCACUGAUUGAUGACACUUUUUUAAAAAUUAGAAACAUUAGAUUUGUAAAGGUUAAUAUGCUUUUUUACUCAGUCAUUCAGAUCCUGGAACAGACUCUCAUAAGGACAAACAGUUUUUAAAAUAUGGUGGAGGAAUUUAUCACAUAGAAUUAAUCAUGGCAUUCGGCCUCCUGGUGCAUUUCCUAUUUGGGCCACAUACUCUUGCAAACCAGGGUUAAAUAAGAGAAGGGCCCUGUGCAGGCAGAUGGGGGUGCAAGGGCCUGGCCGAGAGUCUAGAGGGACGAGGUGGGCGAGGGAGUCGGUGAGCCUGGAAGCAAAGCAAAACAGGGCACAGGGGAGGAGAGCAGGGUAGAGAUGGAAACCGGGGUGAGCCAGCUCAUGUGAGCGAGGCUCAUCUUAGGCGAGGUUUACAUGUGGCUUCCAGAGCCUCUGCAGACAGUAACCGACCUCCCUCCAAACCCCAUGGUGAAGUUGGACUCACAGUUCUGUGACUUCCUAGCUCUGUAAACUUGAGCAUGUUACUUGGUUUCUUGUGCCUCAGUUUCUCAUAGGUAAAAUGGAGUCCUUUCUUAUAGUGAGGACUCAGUGAGUUCAUCCAUUUAACAUGCUUGGCACAGUGCUCAGUAAAUGUUAGCUGUUAUUAUUUAGAAGAGUGAAGUGGAUAUUUUUCAUUUUUUUUACUACCCAACAUUGAAAUCUCUUCCUCUUGUGUGGGUCCUGGUGGGAGGCAGGGCUUACCCCACACAAAGGAGGGUGAAGGUGGGCCUGGGGGCAGCCAAAUACACACCCCCUCUUGGGAUUUUAAUCCUGAGGGAGUGAGACAAAGGUGCCCAACGACCCUUAGGGGUGAUCUGCAGAGCUGGUGGCCAUGAGGAAGGGGUGGCAGGCCUGUGUGGCCGGGCAGCCGGACUGUCCCUGUGGUAACUUGGCAUAACCCCCAUUGCUAACCUUCCUGGCCCCUGCCCUCUGCUCUUGCAAUAAAUUCCUUUUCUGGUGAGUUAGCCAGGGGUUGUCCACUGGUUUGCAACUGUCAACUUCAGGAUCAAAUUCACCUGCUAUUUACCCUCAAAAUGAGUUUAUUCAGGAAUAGCCAAAACAAGUGCAAUCCAGGAAGCACAUGCUACGGUGAACCAGAGGCAAAUCCAGAAAAUAAAGGAGGGGAGCUGCUUUUUCUAGAGAAAAGUGGGGAGUAAGGAGAGGUUGUUCUAAAGGAAAGUCCAUUGGAGGGAAGUUACAGUUCAGGGUGACAACAGCUUCUCAUUGGCUGAGCUGUGGCAUCUCUCAUUGGCUGAGCUGCGGCAUCUCUCAUUGGCUGAGCUGCGGCAUCUCUCAUUGGCUGAGCUGUGGCAUUUCUCAUUGACUGAGCUGUGGCGUCUCUCAUUGGCUGAGCUGCGGCAUCUCUCAUUGGCUGAGCUGCGGCGUUUCUCAUUGGCUGAGCUGUGGUGUUUCUCAUUGGCUGGGCUGUUGCCGGGUGGGGAGAGAAAUCUUCCUUCAGUAGUGAAGUAGUUGUACUUGUCAGAGAUGCAAGUAUGAGUCUCUUCCCGUUUGGUGUAACUGAUGGUGUGUGAUAGGGUGCGAGAGCUCCCCCUAGAGGCCGCCACCUCUCCACUUUGGUUGAGGUUUCUUAUUAAUUUCCACACCGCCAAGAACUCUUAGAGGAGCCAAGCUCAACAGUGUCGUCAAAUAUCACUGCCCCCUGGAGACCAGGGUUAGGCUGAUGGUGGAAGGGCCAGAGGCAUGAUGACAGAGCCCUUGGGAGGGCAGGACAGGCAGAAGCCACACCCAUACCUCUGAACCUGGAGAUGGUAGGGGGCUGGGAGGCCAGCAGGUAGGGGAGGCAGCAAACGCUUACCCAGGACCCACACUGCGGGUUUUUGGUCUCUAAUCCUUUAUCACUGUUUCUCUGCCAACUCCUUCCUUGCUGGGAGCAUGGAUUCUUCUGCAAGUGGGGCAAGGGUGUGUUUAUCAGCUUGUUGCAAAUUACAUGGUAAACACCAUCCCCCUGGCUGAGGCGGUUACUGAGUCUCUUUGUUAGAUUAAUAAGAUUACAACAAUCUGGGCAGACUUUCAAGUGUUUAUUUUCAAAACCUUACUUCAGAGGGUGGUGGUAACACAGUACCAGGCCUGACUGGAUCCCGGGUGUUUGGCUAGAGGGCGUUUCUGUUCUGAGUGCUUAUUUCUCCACAUAUGGAGGAAAAAUGGUCAUUAAUCCUCAACCUCUGACAAUUUAUAGUCCGUAUCCUACAGUCCGUUUUGUGAUCAAAAACUUGAGGUUUAACACCUACAUUUUGUCAGCCUUGUGGCCCAGCUCUCAAAGGGGUCUGAAAAGGGGUUACAGAGAAUCCUUUCCCGCAGCUUUUAAGCUUUCUGGUAGACGGCCUGUCCUUCAGUUUGUAACUAUGGGCAUUUCGGCAAAAUUUACUCCAAGUGAAAUGCUGUAACGCAACCCCGUUUUCCUGUUGACUGGUGUUAUUACAUUAUGGAUGUUACAGCUCCUCGGCAAGCACUCACCAGGCUUUGGGGCACAUGGGGGCGCAGGCUGGGGCGGCUCUCCCUGCUGCACUUUAGGACUUUAAUCACGCUCUGCCCUGGGACUCUGCGUAGCUCUGGGCCCUGCCGGCCGCGAGGACUGGGGGGAUCGAGAUGGCAGAAACCGUCUCUGCCUGCGAGGUGCUCUCAGCCCACUGGGGCCAUGGAAGCCUUGCACCUCCCAAGCACACAGGCUCUCAGAGCCUUCACCGUGUCCAGUCUGCCUUCCCCACCUCUCCUCCCGCCGCAGUCUCCCCAGGUCCACCUGCCCACCCCUCUUUCCUUCCCUCUAACGCACAGCCCCAGACCGUGGCUGUGGACACUGCACUUCCCAGACACUCUGAGCAGUCUCACGACUCGGCACAGGUUGACCCAGUUCCCUCGCCCUGCCACGCCCUUCCCCGCCUCCUCACACCCUUCCAGACAGGGCUGCUCUUCUGGAGCUCAACCCUAAGCUCUGGGCUCUCCCAUAUUCCACGCACCCAACUUGGUCCCGGGAUUCCCCACCUGGCUUUAGACUUGGCUGCCUCUCUGUCUGACUCUCCCAUGAGGCGCUGCACUCUUUGAGGCAUUUCAAACUCAUCUUUAUGACCUCCAUGCUGAGCCUGGGAUGUACCACAUACUGGGAAUUUAGUAAAUGUUAAGUGAGUACAUGGGUGAAUGAAUGAAAAAAAUGAGUACAUACCUUAACAGAGAUACAAAUAAUAAUUAGCUUUAUGUAAAGGCUUGUCAAUUUACAGAAGUUUCAUACACAUCAGUUUACAUGAUCCUCAUGGCGAGUUAGAAUAGUUACCAAUGCCUGAAUUUCAGAGAGGUUAAACUAUUGUAACAAUAACGAUAGCUCUAAUGCCUGAGGACUGACUGUGUGUCAGGCACUUAAUAAACAUGCUCUGUUAAUCCUAGAACAACUGUGCAAGGUAGGCAGCCAUCUUUUACAGUUGGGGAAACUGAGUCUCAGAAACAUGUCUAAAGCCAGAGCCAAGAGUGGGACCACAUCUUGGGACUCCCAAGCCUUUGUUUAGUCCCUGACACGAUGUUGGCGGACAGGAGGCUGGAGCCAGGUCCAGACAGCCAAAGGAGGCCUGAGCUAAGUCUGGAAGGAGUGAAGCGAAGAUCAGAGGGGAUGGACAGCCUGGUCAGGGGGACUGACAUGGGCAAGGGAGGGUAGGUGUGAGCAGGCAGGCCAGGCUUGGGGCCUGGGACCUGAGGGACAGUGUGAGGGGUGGGCAAUGGGGCAGGAAACAAUCAACGCUAGUGGCCAGGAGGGACCGAGGCAUAACAGGCCUCGAGUGCCCCGGGGUGUCCAUGCGGAUGGGGGAUGAACACCGCAGGGGCCUUUGGAGUAUUCUUCUGCGUUAGUGGGGAAGAAGCUGGAGGUGGCAAGACCAGCCAAGGCGAUGGUGACAAUUUGGACUAGCCGCAAGGCAGCCUAACAGGGUAGUGGAGUAGAAAAAAAAAGGGGAAAUAGAUACAUGGGAAGUGGAGAACAUUUCCCAUACCUCUCCCCUGCUCUGUUCUUAGGCCAAAGAAAUUUCUCCAAAGAAAAACUUCCCCAUCCUUUGCUGGUUCAGGCCUCUGUGCCUUUGCACUUACUGUUCCUUCUCCCUCAAGUGCUCUUUUCCCCACACAGCCCCACCCACCUGGAGAACACCUAUUCAUCCUUUAAAACCUUGCUCAGAUGUGACUUCUCCACAAAGUCUUUCCUCACUACCAGUGUGAUAGAGUUGACCAUCCCACCUCCGUGCCUUGUCUCUGCUUCUGCUAGGGUGCCAAUGCCACUGAGGUUAGUUUACUGAUCUGCAUCUCCUGGUAGACGGUGAACGCCUCAAUGGUUGGGACUGUUUCCAUCUUUGUGUUCCUGCACCUAGGCCAAUGCCUGAUACAGACUAAGCACGAUGUUUGAAUGAAUGAAUGAACGCAUGCACACAUGAGUAAACGAAUGCAUAAAGACAUUAUUCUCCUCCCUCUUUUCCAGCCAUUCCUGAUGUCCAAUAGAAGUGAGCUACACUCGUUAUUCUCUCUCAGAUGAGGUUUGAAAAAUGUUUUGUUUUCAAAAUGCCUUUGUUUUGAAAAAUGCCUUCAAUUUAAGCUUUGUUUUUGUAAAAUUAGUGAGUAUCUCAUUUGGCAAGUUUGAAACACCCAAAACAAGCAAAAAAUGCUGGUGGAAGGGAAAGGAAAAAAGAGGAGAGAGGGGAAGGCUGGUGGGGCCAUGGGCCUUCAGUUGCUGUUUUCCCUGAGCUCGAUCAGGAAAAACAAAACACCCAGGCCUGGGGCCGCUCUCACAAGCGGCCUCAGACGAGUGUUUACUUCACCUCCUUCCAUUAGCUCUUAAGAGGAGCCAAUAGAAAAGACCUUGAAAAUGGUAAGGAACACCAUGAAAGAGACAUAUUAUUCUGCCUGGAUGGUAAAAUAUGGCCUUGUGAACUACGUGCUAGCUUCCCAUGCUCACUCAAAGAUGAUUUUAAUAUUAAACGUAUUCCUUUCAUUGACUAAGACAUACACUAACUAGGGAGAAAAUGUUUUCCAAAAUUUAAACUUAAAUCUGUUAAUAAGCACAAAUCUUCAUAAAAAAGUCAGAAGUACAUGGAGACUAGCAGCCUAACCUUAGACGGGAAGCCAUCUGUGACUUUAGAACAAGGGUUUUUACUCACUGGAGGGGGCACACUUUUGUGAAAUGCUAAACCAAAUACCACGGAACAUUAUUAUGGCUUCAAAAACUAGUUACAGGCUUCAAUAAGCACACUUUUAUCACAAGAACACACAAUCUAAAGCCAAAAUAGUUCAGUUUAAUACGCCAAAAAUAUGCUCACCCCAUACAUUGUUAGAAAGAGCAGUAGGAAAAAAAAUCUAAAAUUUGCUGCUAAUUCAUUUGACGGCAGCCAACGUCUCCUAUCUUUCUUGGCAAGAGGGCCAUUUUUCUAUGCUGUAUUUUGCACACAGAAAUCUGCAUAGAGUGAUUUGCAUACCAAAAACACGUUUGUAAAAGAAACUACUUGCACAGAAGCCAGGGAGAGAUGGGGUUGCCACUGUUGGCUUCUAUACACACAACGCCCCCAGGCUACUUGCUUUCCUUUUUCAAACAUACUGCAUUUCCCGCAAAGGGUUAUGCACUUUAUGAUGCAUUAAAAAUUAAAGCAAAUAUAUCUUUUAUAUAUCCAAGAGCAACCAUAACAACGAUAACAACACAGGCUAAAUAUUUCCAUGCUAACAGUCUUCAACUUUUUGCUAAGGGGCUGGGAAUAAUAAGUGCUAUAAUAUAUUGAGCUUUUAUUUUAUACCAUGUCUUUUACAUAAAUUAUUGCUAAUUCUCGCCAUCAGUCUUCAAGGCCAGUGCUGUGGCUCCCCGUUUUACAUGAGGAAACUAGGCUUGGGGAGGUGAGGUGGCUCCCCAAAGCCGCGCAGGCCAGCAGCAGCAGCGAAGCCAGGUUUGGAAGUCUGGUCUGACUGCUCUGCCCCUUCCUGCCACCCUGUUCCCCACUGCCUCUCUCUUUCCCCGGUUUUGCCAAAUACCUUUGUUUCAUUUCCAAGGCUGGGUCUACCAGGCUGAGGGGUGGGGGAGUCAUGCUGGCAGAGGUAAUCACUUGGGUUUCCUGGCCUUUUUCUCUGACGAGCCUGGAAGCAGGGCAGCUAGUCUCAAGGCUCAGGGAAGGAGCCCAGGAAAGCAGUGCAGUGACAGACAGGGUGGAUGGGCAGUGGCCUGGGGUGCGGAGGGCACCGGGGGCGGGGAGACAGAUGGGUGGCUGCACAAAGAAGGUACGCGGUAGUUGAGAUGCAAUGGAACCCUCCCACUCGGUGCCCAUGCGCUGUCACCAGUUCAGUGCCAGCCCAGCUGUAUUCUUGGAAACACAGAACGGUUUUGUGUGUACUUAAUUAUAAUGCUACUUACAGACAAUUUGUCAGCAGCAAAUCAGAGGCUUGAUGCACUUCUUAAGAAAAAAAAAUUGGUAGUGGUUCUUUGAAAUGUGUCCAUCUGAUGAAUCCUUUGGAUUCUUCCAGUAUACAGCAUUUGAGAGAAAUCGGCCAUUUCUGGAAUGUCAAUCGGGGGGAAAGUACAAAAUGAAAAGACUGAGGAUGUCUGCAAAAAAAAAGAUUAUCAACAUUUGCUUUCCUUAAGAUGUUUCUUUGUGUAUUUUUUCUCACCUAGUUUCUCUUUUCCAGGGCACGAUAGCAAAAUUUACACCUAAUCCUCUCUCGUUACCCGUGGAUCGCCAGUGCCCGGAGAUUCCUGGCUUUGAGACUUCGUUAUGUAUUAGUCACUGUUAGAAAGCAGUUUUUCUGACACUUUCAGUAAUAAAUCCCUUUGAUAUGAUCUAUGGUAGCUCUGCCUCAUAGCAAGUUCCAGGCUAAAGCAAGUAAUGGAAUAGCAAACUGCUCUGGAGGCAGGCAGACCUGGUUUGAAUCCUGGUUCUGUCACUAUGGUUUUACCUUACUUAAUCUUUCUGACACUCAGUUUCUUCAUCUGUAAAACGGGGAAAAGCAUAUGAGGGCAGAACCUGGUUGCCCAUCCAACAGCCAUUUCCCUCUUCAUCCUUGCUAACAACAGUGACGACAACGAAAAAUCCUGAUUUUGUUCCAGUCCCGAAGUGCGAAAUCCCAGCAGAUGCGCUGCGUUGAUCUAAACCCUGCAUUCCUGUUGUCAGUGACUGGUUUACAGGGUCUACAGGAAAGCGUGUGACCUAAUUCUGGCCAAGGAUGCUGAAGAGGAAACCUGCCAGAAGCUUCCGAGAAAGAUUUUCCUCUCUGAUAAGAGAGACCCUUGAAGAGAAGGCCCAUCUGCCUUCAUCCACUGGCUCCCUGACCCACGCUGUUUGGUGCUGUGGCAGCCGUCUCUUGAACACGAGGGGAACGAUCACUGACACACUAAAGAUGGCAGAGCAGAAGGACCGAAAGAGCCUAGGGCCUUGGGGACAACACUGAUCUAUUGAGCCGACCUUGGUCCACCUAUCUCCAGAUUUCUUGUUAACAACGUCUUUAUGGUUUAACCUAUUGCGUAUUGAGUUUUGUGUUGCUUGCAGUCAAAAACAAUCCUAACUGACACAAAUACCAACCCCACAAGAUGGUUGUAAAUAAAUGAUACAUUGUAUGUAAAGUACUUAACACAAUACCUGGCACAGUAAGUGGUUGCUAUAUAUAUAUAUUAACAACAUUUAUGAGACAUGGGUAAUGAUCUAAAAGAGCAAAAGUUUCAAAACACAACACAGAUAAAUAAGAUGAACGGUACCGAUUUAGCAUGACAAAAAAGCUUUAUAUUCUCGGUAAGGGUGAGAGGAGACACUGAGGUACAAGACUAUGAUUACAGCCUCAAAUCCUCAUAUCUGGGAGUAAGAUGUAACUAUAGGCAGAAUGUGAACGCUAUUGGAGAUGAAAGGACUGUGGUUCUUGGCCAGGUUUCCAUCCAGCCUCUUACAACAGACAAUCACCCUGUCAGCAGCUCCGAUUCAUGUCUGAAGACCAACAAUUACAUGUGAAUUACCAGCCUUGCAAAGGGGCAGAAUUCUUUCAACUCACAGAAUCUCUUUCCAGAAUACCAAAUUUUACUAGUUGUUUUUUUUUAAGAUUGGCACCUGGGCUAACAACUGUUGCCAAUCUUUUUUUUUUUUUUCUGCUUUAUCUCUCCAAAGCCCCCCUGUACACAGUUGUAUGUCUUAGUUGCAGGUCCUUCUAGUUGUGGGAUGUGGGACGCCGCCUCAACGUGGCCUGACGAGUGGUGCCAUGUCCACGCCCAGGAUCCGAACCCUGGGCCGCCACAGCCAAGCGUGCGAACUUAACCACUGGGCCACGGAGCCGGCCCCAUACUAGUAUUUUCUUAAAAAUAUGUUAUUUCUUUAUAGCAGGAAAGAUAGAUAUACUGACAUAUAUUUAAAAUAUAAUACUCAUUGAGGAAUAUGUUGUCCUAGAUAUCACCUACCAUCUCGGAGCACUGUAGCAACUCAGAGGACUAUGUAUACUUUACACAUGAGACACCAGUUUUUGAAACAACCUACUAGAACACAAAGAAAGAAUACAGUAAAAUAACAUGGGAAAAUACCUAGCUAAUAGAGGUCAUGUCAUGUAAUCAAUACUCAAAGUAAACCAGAUUUUUUUCUUCACUCUGUUUUAGCAAAGAGGCAAAUGACAAGAUUUCAAACCAACACUGAGGAUUAGACACACACACUCAUAUCCACUGCUGUCUAGGGUCAGCGCACAUCCACCCCGAAGCCCAGUGCUCUCUCCAGCGACAGUGCCGUGCGACGAGUGUUGAUUGUCAUAACUGGUGGCUCAUGAGGCUUCACAAAUCCCAGAAUUAUUAAUCGUAUUCAGCAUACAAUAAAAGAGAAGUAAUCAGACAUAUGGACAAAAAUCUGUCAAGGAUUGAAAACAAAAGGUGAUUUCUGGUUACCUUGCAGUUCAUUAAAUAAAAUCACCAAUUCCUGAACAUUUUGGUUAACUGAGAUUUUCUUGUACACUGUACACACACCUGCUUUUCUCAAAAUAUAUCUGCUCCUUUUUCUUUCUUACAAUAAAGGGCAAAACUGUUGGUGGCUCAACUUCGUAC